GACGAACGCUGGCGGUGUGCUUAACACAUGCAAGUCGAACGGAAAGGCCCUGCUUUUGUGGGGUGCUCGAGUGGCGAACGGGUGAGUAACAGGUGUGUAACCUGACCUUGACUUUGGGGUAGCUUCAGGAAACUGGGGCUAAUACCGUAUAGGAGCUCCUGCUGCAGGGUGGGGGGUGGAAAGUUUCGGCGGGUGGGGAUGGACUCGCGGCUUAUCGGCUUGUUGGUGGGGUAGUGGCUUACCAAGGCAUUGGCGGGUAGCCGGCCGGUGUGGGUGACCGGCCACAUUGGGACUGAGGUGAGGCCCAGACGCCUACUGGAGGCAGCAGUGGGGAAGCUUGCACAAUCGGUGGCACCCUGAUGCAGCAACGCCUCGUGCGGGAUGGCGGCCUUCGGGGUGUAAACCGCUUUCGCCUGUGACGAAGCGUGAGUUACGGUAAUGGGUAAAGAAGCACCGGCUAACUACGUG
This 468-nucleotide ribosomal RNA is filed under the name uncultured bacterium. RNAcentral's name for it is "partial 16S ribosomal RNA". It matches the Rfam family "Bacterial small subunit ribosomal RNA", at positions 28 to 507 of the family's 1533-position model. The record is from RNAcentral.